This 27-nucleotide small RNA is filed under the name Bombyx mori (domestic silkworm). Its description in RNAcentral is "ovarian small RNA-30201". Lineage: Eukaryota; Metazoa; Arthropoda; Insecta; Lepidoptera; Bombycidae. The record is from RNAcentral.
UCUUGGCAGAGCAGUCGUGGUCAUGGA